Molecule: ribosomal RNA, 468 nt
Filed under: uncultured bacterium
Lineage: Bacteria
Description: partial 16S ribosomal RNA
Rfam family: Bacterial small subunit ribosomal RNA
Source: RNAcentral
GACGAACGCUGGCGGCGUGCUUAACACAUGCAAGUCGAACGGAAAGGCCCUGCUUUUGUGGGGUGCUCGAGUGGCGAACGGGUGAGUAACACGUGAGUAACCUGCCCUUGACUUUGGGAUAACUUUAGGAAACUGGGGCUAAUACAGCAUAGGAGCUCCUGCUGCAUGGUGGUGGUUGGAAAGAUUCGGCGGUUGGGGAUGGACUCGCGGCUUAUCAGCUUGUUUGUGGGGUAGGUGCGUACCAAGGCUUUGACGGGUAGCCGGCCUGGGAGGGUGACCGGCGACAUUGGGACUGCGAUACGGACCAGUAGCCUACGGGAGGCAGUAGUGGAGAAUCUGACACAAUGGGCGGACGCCUGAUGCAGCAACGCCGCGUGCGGGAUGACGGCCUUCGGGUUGUAAACCGCUUUCGCCUGUGACGAAGCGUGAGUGACGGUAAUGGGUAAAGAAGCACCGGCUAACUACGUG